RNAcentral lists this ribosomal RNA (253 nucleotides) under uncultured bacterium. Its description in RNAcentral is "partial 16S ribosomal RNA". It matches the Rfam family "Bacterial small subunit ribosomal RNA", at positions 524 to 776 of the family's 1533-position model. The record is from RNAcentral.
UACGAAGGGGGCUAGCGUUGCUCGGAAUCACUGGGCGUAAAGGGUGCGUAGGCGGGUCUUUAAGUCAGGGGUGAAAUCCUGGAGCUCAACUCCAGAACUGCCUUUGAUACUGAAGAUCUUGAGUUCGGGAGAGGUGAGUGGAACUGUGAGUGUAGAGGUGAAAUUCGUAGAUAUUCGCAAGAACACCAGUGGCGAAGGCGGCUCACUGGCCCGAAACUGACGCUGAGGCACGAAAGCGUGGGGAGCAAACAGG